AUGAGUCGAGCUCCUCCGCGACAGGGGUCAACCGGAACGGCAAGGGGAUGUUGCCUCCCAAGGUCAUUCCUUCUCCCCCGAACUCCGCAGGCAGCAGCAGCUCCUCCACCCACUCCCUCGACUACGCCGCGACAUCGAGAGCCGGGAGGCGGGGAGACAAGGGAGGUGCCCAAUGCGGCGGCGCAUCCAUUCGACCCCAAGCUGGUGUCCAGGCAGCGGCUGGUGAAAGAGCAGGUGGCCAUCGACAAGGAGAACAGGCAAUGGGAACAGCAGUUCAAGGUGUUGCGCGCGGAAGAGGCGAUGUAUAGGAGGGAGCAGGUAUGCAUGCAUCUGGUCUUCUUGCUUGCUUGGAAUGUGAAUUGUGGUCUCUAA
This 372-nucleotide ribosomal RNA is filed under the name Triticum aestivum (bread wheat). Its description in RNAcentral is "partial small subunit ribosomal RNA". The record is from RNAcentral. Lineage: Eukaryota; Viridiplantae; Streptophyta; Magnoliopsida; Poales; Poaceae.